Molecule: long non-coding RNA, 724 nt
Organism: Myotis lucifugus (little brown bat)
Lineage: Eukaryota; Metazoa; Chordata; Mammalia; Chiroptera; Vespertilionidae
Exons: 2
Source: RefSeq, a predicted model, not a curated record
UUUAUGGGAGUGUGGGUUGGGUUGAUUUUUAAGUAAGAAAACAAUCAUACACACGCACACACACACACACACAAACACAAACACAAACACACAUAUUCCAUCCCUGUGAGCAAGAUGAUGCAUGCUAACCGCAGGUGGUAUAGUAAGUGUUAGUGUAGAUGUCACCAUAAUAACACCUACCAUUUUAAACCUGGCUUUCAUUUAUUAAAUACUUACCAGGUAAAUACUCUUACUUGUCUUGUGGUCUUGGGCAAGUUACAUGUGCUUUGAAUCUCUGCUAUGUAUAAUUUAACUGAAAUUUAAUUUAAAUUAAUUUAAUUAAAAUUUUAUUUCAUUUGUAUGAGUAUAGUAUCUCUACCUCAUAGGAUUAUUGUGAGAAGAUGAUGUGAUGUGGGACACAGAUGGCCACUCUCUUUUUUCCAUUUCCCCUAAGGGUUUAACACAAUGUUGAGAGAGAAAUAAUAGUGGUAUGGACUGAUAUCAACGCAUGAAGUGGUUGCCUUGGAAAGUGAGUGGGUGCUUGGACUUGAGACGAGACUGAUGGACCACUGCGAUGCUCUUCACAUCCAGUGGAAGCAGGGAGUCGCUGCGUGCUCUGCCUCAGGCAGUCAGGGCUGAAGGAAGGAAGCCUGGGUGCUCAGCACCCUGGGUGAUCGGCUGAGCUUCUGAAGACUGUUCAGUGAUAUGUCACAGGUGCCAUAAAGGAAUGUUUCUGACUUUGUAA